This 452-nucleotide ribosomal RNA is filed under the name uncultured bacterium. RNAcentral's name for it is "bacterial SSU rRNA". It matches the Rfam family "Bacterial small subunit ribosomal RNA", at positions 341 to 786 of the family's 1533-position model. The record is from RNAcentral.
ACGGGAGGCAGCAGUGGGGAAUAUUGCACAAUGGGCGCAAGCCUGAUGCAGCCAUGCCGCGUGUAUGAAAAAGGCCUUUCGGGUUGUAAAGUACUUUCAGUCGUGAGGAAGGUGUUAAGGUUAAUAACCUUAGCAAUUGACGUUAGCGACAGAAGAAGCACCGGCUAACUCCGUGCCAGCAGCCGCGGUAAUACGGAGGGUGCGAGCGUUAAUCGGAAUUACUGGGCGUAAAGGGCACGCAGGCGGUUAAUUAAGUUGGAUGUGAAAUCCCCGGGCUUAACCUGGGAAUGGCAUUCAAGACUGGUUAGCUAGAGUCUUGUAGAGGGGGUAGAAUUCCAUGUGUAGCGGUGAAAUGCGUAGAGAUGUGGAGGAAUACCGGUGGCGAAGGCGGCCCCUGGACAAAGACUGACGCUCAUGUGCGAAAGCGUGGGGAGCAAACAGGAUUAGAUACC